Molecule: long non-coding RNA, 385 nt
Filed under: Salvia miltiorrhiza (redroot sage)
Lineage: Eukaryota; Viridiplantae; Streptophyta; Magnoliopsida; Lamiales; Lamiaceae
Description: long non-coding RNA (SMIL_LNC008439)
Source: RNAcentral
UCCGAUCUGCAGAAUCCCCAUUAUCAUCAUCACAAAAAUAUAUCCCCCAAUCUUUACCCAAAUAAUGCAUGUCCUAGAAAACCUGCAAUCACAAAGGACGAGCGAAGCAAGGAAAUUUAAUCAUGAUUGUCAAAAACGAGAAGUAAUACAAUUAAGUAGCUUUGAUUUUUGUCAAAUUGAACAAUCAAGAAAAUGCAAUUAGAUUUGAAAGACAAAAGGCGCGGUGACAACAGCUUAGAGAGAGAGCUGGUCCUAGGGAAAGGGCGGCUAGGGUUAGAGCAGGUCCAAGGGAGAGCGCGGUUGAGGGCGGCUGUAAUAGCCGCGACGUACGAUCGGUGGUGGUGCUGCUGCGGCUGGGAGAACGGUGACUGAGUAAUAGUCGAGC